AGCACUUGUUUAUGUCUUUGUUUAAUUUGUAACAAAGACUUACAGACAGGCGCAAACAGUAAAUCUUUUUCAAUUCAGAACUCAUUGUUGAGUAUGAGUUUUGAUCCCCGUCCAAUGGAAUAUA
This is a small nucleolar RNA of Perognathus longimembris pacificus (Pacific pocket mouse), 124 nucleotides long. RefSeq annotates it as small nucleolar RNA SNORA40. The transcript has a single exon. NCBI's taxonomy places the organism in Eukaryota, Metazoa, Chordata, Mammalia, Rodentia, Heteromyidae. The record is from RefSeq and is a predicted model, not a curated record.